Molecule: ribosomal RNA, 253 nt
Filed under: uncultured bacterium
Lineage: Bacteria
Description: partial 16S ribosomal RNA
Rfam family: Bacterial small subunit ribosomal RNA
Source: RNAcentral
GACAGAGGGUGCAACCGUUGUUCGGAAUUACUGGGCGUAAAGCGUGUGUAGGCGGCCACGUAAGUCGGAUGUGAAAGCCCCGGGCUCAACCCGGGAAGUGCACUCGAUACUGCGUGGCUUGAGUACUGGAGAGGUUGGUGGAAUUCUCGGUGUAGAGGUGAAAUUCGUAGAUAUCGAGAGGAACACCGGGGGCGAAGGCGGCCAACUGGACAGAUACUGACGCUGAGACACGAAAGCGUGGGGAGCAAACAGG